UACGGGAGGCAGCAGUAGGGAAUUUUCCGCAAUGGGCGCAAGCCUGACGGAGCAACGCCGCGUGAGGGACGAAGGUCUUCGGAUCGUAAACCUUUGUCAAUGAGGACGAUAAUGACGGUACUCGAUGAGGAAGCCCCGGCUAACUACGUGCCAGCAGCCGCGGUAAUA
This 168-nucleotide ribosomal RNA is filed under the name uncultured bacterium. Its description in RNAcentral is "partial 16S ribosomal RNA". It matches the Rfam family "Bacterial small subunit ribosomal RNA", at positions 340 to 525 of the family's 1533-position model. The record is from RNAcentral.